UACGGGAGGCAGCAGUGGGGAAUAUUGCACAAUGGGCGCAAGCCUGAUGCAGCCAUGCCGCGUGUAUGAAGAAGGCCUUCGGGUUGUAAAGUACUUUCAGCGGGGAGGAAGGCGGUAAGGUUAAUAACCUUAUCGAUUGACGUUACCCGCAGAAGAAGCACCGGCUAACUCCGUGCCAGCAGCCGCGGUAAUACGGAGGGUGCAAGCGUUAAUCGGAAUUACUGGGCGUAAAGCGCACGCAGGCGGUCUGUCAAGUCGGAUGUGAAAUCCCCGGGCUUAACCUGGGAACUGCAUUCGAAACUGGCAGGCUAGAGUCUUGUAGAGGGGGUAGAAUUCCAGGUGUAGCGGUGAAAUGCGUAGAGAUCUGGAGGAAUACCGGUGGCGAAGGCGGCCCCUGGACAAGACUGACGCUCAGGUGCGAAAGCGUGGGGAGCAAAC
RNAcentral lists this ribosomal RNA (438 nucleotides) under uncultured bacterium. RNAcentral's name for it is "bacterial SSU rRNA". It matches the Rfam family "Bacterial small subunit ribosomal RNA", at positions 340 to 773 of the family's 1533-position model. The record is from RNAcentral.